GGGACCGUGGUGUAGGGGUACGCAAGAUUACAUAUCGCACAGUCGGCUUGGGUUCGAUCCCAGACGGUCCCG
Molecule: transfer RNA, 72 nt
Filed under: Culex quinquefasciatus (southern house mosquito)
Lineage: Eukaryota; Metazoa; Arthropoda; Insecta; Diptera; Culicidae
Description: tRNA-Asp
Source: RNAcentral